This is a long non-coding RNA of Triticum dicoccoides, 2380 nucleotides long. RefSeq lists it as uncharacterized. The transcript is spliced from 4 exons. The record is from RefSeq and is a predicted model, not a curated record. NCBI's taxonomy places the organism in Eukaryota, Viridiplantae, Streptophyta, Magnoliopsida, Poales, Poaceae.
AGGCGGCGUGUAUACUACACCAAGGAGCGAUACAUGACAUGAAGCAAGCAAGCGAGCAGGUGUACACAGCGACCUGCUACUACACUAAUAGCCUUGACAGAGCACCGGGGCCGGCUCGACAGGGCAUUCGGCCGCCGGCGGACCCUGGAUGUGCGCGAUGGAGAUGAACCCCGCGUCGUCGCCUCUGCAGCCUGGAUAGAGCUCCGUCAGUGCUGGUGAUGAACCCCACGUCUGUGCUGGUGAUGGCGCUGUCCAUCUACUUUCUCCACUGGCUGUCAGACAAUAGAGAUCACAUUGUGGAUUUAUGUUUUCUUCAGAGUGUUCUCCCGUCAUUGUUGGAUGUCGAAUUUGUAAGGCAAUCCGUCUCUGUGUCGAUGUCUUAACCACUUCGUACUUCCGCACAAUUAGCAGAACAGAGCAGUUGCCGCAAUUUACCCAUUGAUUUCUUGGACUGAUUCAGACCUAGGAAAGCCUGCUACUUGUGCAAGCAAUAGGUUGUGCUAAUACUUUGUGUGCACUUCAGCGGGAAUGAAAUUUUCUUGCUACCAUGUGUCAUGGUAGUAGGUUGCUGCGGCAAAAAACUGAAACCACUUCAACUAGCCUAGGACCAUCUCUGGUCCAACGCGCGAGGUGCCUACCGAGUGCCUCCCCAGCUUAACGGUCCCAAACCUAAGGUGAGUCCCUCUUCCACCCAUCCAUCCUUGCAUGUUGUCGCCGUCGGAUACGGGAGGCCGCCGAUUGCGUCGCUAGGCCAGACUAGAAGUGAAGCUCGCCUUUGAGUUUUAGGUUGGAUGGUGAACUCGGUAGCUUAUAGAUUGUGGUUGUCCUUUUUGAUCAGUGUAUUGAUGCAGUUGCGCCACUAUAUAUUGUUUUCCUGCAAGUGGUCUUUGGGUCGGUGAACAUUAAAACAUUGUCAGAAGGAUGGAAUCAGUAAUAAUGUUGAUCCUUGCUUGGUGUCAGAUUACUUCAGGUGACAACGGGUGUAGCUUGCUAACUAUUUUAUUGUCAGUUCCUCACUCACGGAUGUCUCGGGCUGUUGAUUUUUUCAGGCUUAUUCUGGACAUAGAUUUAUCCUGUUCAUAUGUUUAAAUAAAAUAGUUAAAGAUCAUGUCUAUGCUUCGUAUGAAAUAAAAUAUGGGAUGUGCUUUUGAAUCUGCAAUAUUUUCAGCCUAUAGGAUUUACUUCUUUCAGCUCUUGGUUGUAUGCCUAAACAGAAUAACCGAAGUUCGAAUUUAUGUGUGGUAACAAACUAAAUAUGAUAAGCAUUUGUCAUGUUCUAAGAAAUAGUAUAUUGUAAAGAAUCGGGUGAAUUUUGCACUUCCAUUUCUGGGUGUGUUGUUUCAGGAUUUUGUAGGUUCCUGUUUAUAUUUCUGUAUGCCUUGUGGUUUGAAAUAGUGAUGCUUCUCAAGUUGUUUUGUUUGCAGGUCUGGCAAUAUUUAUUUGCGCCUAGCUCCUAACAUGCAUGGAUCCAUCAUUUUAUUAUUUUGUCAUCUCAUGUAGUUUCACAUGAUGUUAGAGUUCAUCGUCCGAAUUGUUAAUUAGGUGGUAGCUUUGUCAAAAUAAUAAUUAUUAGAAGCUCAGAACCGUGAGAGAUCGAUGGUAUUUCCAAACUGGAAUGACAAUGCUAAGACUAAAUUUGACAUUCAAGUGGAAAUCAUGUUGGUAUUUGGUGCAUGACAAGGUGCAGAUUUCCUAACUUCUGCAAUAUGGUUUACUUGGUUUGUGCUGAUCUGCUGAAGUCUUUGUUCAGCGAUUGGAUACGAAGUCUACUCAGCAGGAGGAGCAUGAACAGUUGUGAAGGAGAACCCCACUGCCUUGGACCAGGUUGCUGAACCAGAAGCAGAAGGUGCGAGGGGCACUGUUCAGUAUCUUUAGGAAUGAAGCCAUGAGGAUGCUACCUAUUCUUUCCUUUCAAGUAUCCGGCACUACGAGCUGCAUUAGCUUCACCUCAGGAUGUUGAAAGAGGAAGUAGGAGUUUUCAGAAAUGAUAAUCUACAAACACAGUACAUGUUCGUUGAUUAACGAAGACAAGGGCCCUACAACUCAACUGUUGUAACACCUAUUUUUACAAUGUAGGGUAUGAACUACUUGGCUUUAUUUUUAACUUAUGUACUGAUGUAGAAUGAUGGCUCCUGUUUCUUACUCGCUGGUAUGAGCUUUUUUGUUGUAUUUUGUAAAGCUCAUGUAUUUACUCAUCUAUGCUAACUAGCAUUGCUACAACAUUUGUAUACUCUAAUAAUUAUACUUCCCUUGCCGUUGGCAGGGCUUUUUUUUGUAUAAUUGCUCAUACUUAUCAAUGUUGAAGCUACAUAUAUUAGAGGCACUUAUUACAUUGCGUUGGAUGCAAGCUGUUGUUCUGCUAGCUGGUACCUCUUAUGAA